RNAcentral lists this microRNA precursor (103 nucleotides) under Marmota monax (woodchuck). Lineage: Eukaryota; Metazoa; Chordata; Mammalia; Rodentia; Sciuridae. The record is from RNAcentral.
GGUGGGAUUACUGGGUCAUAUGGUAACUCUGGGUUUAAUUUUUUAGGAAACAGCCAAACUGUUUCCCGAAAUGGCUAUACCAUUUUACAAUCUCACAAAUAAU